This 340-nucleotide ribosomal RNA is filed under the name uncultured bacterium. RNAcentral describes it as "bacterial SSU rRNA". It matches the Rfam family "Bacterial small subunit ribosomal RNA", at positions 28 to 367 of the family's 1533-position model. The record is from RNAcentral.
GACGAACGCUGGCGGCGUGCUUAACACAUGCAAGUCGAGCGGUAAGGCCCUUUCGGGGGUACACGAGCGGCGAACGGGUGAGUAACACGUGGGUGACCUGCCCUCAGCUCUGGGAUAAGCCUGGGAAACCGGGUCUAAUACUGGAUAUGACUCCAUGACGCAUGUUGGUGGGGUGGAAAGCCUUGUGCGGCUGAGGAGUGGGCCCGCGGCCUAUCAGCUUGUUGGUGGGGUGANGGCCUACCAAGGCGACGACGGGUAGCCGGCCUGAGAGGGCGACCGGCACACUGGGACUGAGACACGGCCCAGACUCCUACGGGAGGCAGCAGGUGGGGAAUCUUGC